AGGACAGGGAUAGAGGCAAAAUUAGUGUUCCUACAAGGUGACAAUUCAUAUACUGAAACACUGUUGCCAACCACUUAUCCAUAGAAGCAGUACCACACUGCUCUGUUAAUAUGCCUCACUACUGAGCUGAAAAGAUCAUCACAAGGAGUGAGAGUAGUUCAGUCUCUAUGCCCGUUCAAUCCUUAGUCUAU
Molecule: small RNA, 191 nt
Filed under: Chrysemys picta bellii (western painted turtle)
Lineage: Eukaryota; Metazoa; Chordata; Testudines; Emydidae
Description: TUC338 (ENSCPBG00000020860.1)
Source: RNAcentral